This 2253-nucleotide ribosomal RNA is filed under the name Triticum aestivum (bread wheat). Its description in RNAcentral is "partial small subunit ribosomal RNA". Lineage: Eukaryota; Viridiplantae; Streptophyta; Magnoliopsida; Poales; Poaceae. The record is from RNAcentral.
AUGCUCCCUUCGCGCCAUCUCCGCGCCGCCGUGCGGCAGAGAAGCCACCGCCCCCCAGCCGCCGGAGAAGCCUGCUCCGGAAAGCUCGACGCCGAUGUGAUCCGGCGCAACAAGGCCAUCACGGUCCACAUGCGCGCCGGCCGCGUCGGCGAGGCCGAGCGCCUAUUUGACGCCAUGCCCCGCCGCUCCACGUCCACCUACAACGCCAUGCUCGCCGGGUAUGCCUCCAAUGGACGCCUCCCUGUGGCGCUCUCCCUCUUCCGUUCCAUCCCACGCCCGGACACAUUCUCCUACAACACUCUCCUCCAUGCGCUGGCAGUCUCAUCCUCCCUCACUGACGCCCGCAGCCUGUUCGACGAAAUGCCAGUGAAGGACUCAGUGACAUACAACGUCAUGAUCUCGUCUCAUGCCAACCAUGGGCUUGUCUCUCUUGCACGGAAGUACUUCGAUCUUGCUCCGGAGAAGGAUGCUGUCUCAUGGAACGGCAUGCUUGCUGCUUAUGUCCGGAAUGGACGGGUUCAAGAAGCAAGGCAGUUGUUUAAUUCAAGGACAGAGUGGGAUGCCAUUUCUUGGAACGCCUUGAUGGCUGGGUAUGUGCAGUUGGGUCGGAUGGCAGAAGCACAGGAGCUUUUCGAUAGGAUGCCACAAAGAGAUGUUGUUUCCUGGAACACCAUGGUGUCAGGUUAUGCCAGGGGAGGGGAUAUGGUGGAGGCAAGAAGGAUGUUCGACAUGGCACCCGUGCGUGAUGUGUUCACAUGGACAGCAGUAGUUUCUGGGUAUGCUCAAAAUGGAAUGCUGGUGGAUGCCCGGAUGGUGUUUGAUGCCAUGCCUGAGAGGAACCCAGUGUCAUGGAAUGCAAUGGUGGCAGCAUAUGUCCAGCGGAGGAUGAUGGAGAAAGCAAAGGAGCUAUUUGACAUCAUGCCCUGCAGGAAUGUGGCAUCAUGGAACACAAUGUUGACAGGGUAUGCUCAGGCAGGGAUGUUGGAUGAGGCAAGGGCAGUUUUUGACAUGAUGCCGCAGAAAGAUGCAGUCUCUUGGGCUGCAAUAUUGGCUGCGUACGCACAAGCUGGUUUCAGUGAGGAAACCCUACAGCUGUUCAUCAAAAUGGGGCGGUGCGGUGAGUGGGUGAAUAGAUCAGCAUUCGCUUGUUUGUUGAGCACAUGUGCUGACAUUGCUGCACUCGAGUGUGGAAUGCAGCUGCAUGGGAGGUUGAUUAAAGCUGGGUACGGCUUGGGUAGGUUUGUUGGGAAUGCACUCUUAGCUAUGUACUUCAAAUGUGGAAACAUGGAGGAUGCUCGAAAUGCAUUUGAGCAGAUGGAGGACAGGGAUGCAGUUUCUUGGAAUACUGUGAUCGCCGGUUAUGCACGACAUGGUUUUGGCAAGGAAGCACUUGAGGUGUUUGAUAUGAUGAGAGCAACAUCAACCAAGCCAGAUGAUAUUACUCUAGUUGGAGUACUUGCAGCUUGUAGUCAUUCUGGCUUGGUCGAGAAAGGCAUUUCAUACUUUUAUUCAAUGCACCGCGAUUUUGGUGUGACAGCGAAGCCUGAACAUUAUACUUGUAUGAUAGACUUGCUUGGACGAGCUGGUCGAUUAGAUGAAGCACAGGGCCUUAUGAAGGACAUGCCAUUUGAGCCAGAUGCUACCAUGUGGGGUGCAUUGCUUGGUGCGAGUAGGAUCCACCGCAAUUCCGAACUAGGCAAGAGUGCAGCUGAGAAAAUAUUUGAGUUGGAGCCUGAAAAUGCUGGCAUGUAUGUCUUGCUUUCAAAUAUAUAUGCAUCUUCUGGCAACUGGCGUGAUGUGGGGAAGAUGAGAGUUAUGAUGGAGGAUCGUGGUGUGAAAAAAGUGCCUGGAUUCAGUUGGAUGGAAGUACAAAACAAAGUACACACUUUCUCGGUUGGUGACUGUGUGCACCCCGAAAAGGAAAAGAUAUAUGCUUUCCUGGAAGACCUUGACAUGAGGAUGAAGAAAGCUGGCUAUGUGUCAGCUACAGAAAUGGUUUUGCAUGAUGUGGAGGACGAAGAGAAGGAACACAUGCUAAAGUAUCAUAGCGAGAAGCUUGCUGUUGCUUAUGGUAUUCUAAAUAUUCCUAUUGGGAGGCCUAUCCGAGUGAUAAAAAACCUCAGAGUAUGCGGAGAUUGUCACAAUGCUUUCAAGUAUAUCUCUGCAAUUGAGGGCAGGCUGAUCAUCCUGCGGGAUUCUAACCGCUUUCACCACUUCAGAGAUGGUUCUUGUUCAUGUGGUGAUUACUGGUGA